Molecule: long non-coding RNA, 2573 nt
Organism: Betta splendens (Siamese fighting fish)
Lineage: Eukaryota; Metazoa; Chordata; Actinopteri; Anabantiformes; Osphronemidae
Exons: 3
Source: RefSeq, a predicted model, not a curated record
GAUAACGCGCGCCAGCGAAGGCACCGUGGCGGGCGGGCGACGCGAAGCGAGAAUGACUGCGGCGGAACGUGAAGCGGGACGCCGUGUGAAGUGUGACACGCGGGGUCCGGUGGAAGUCAAACAGGGAGCAGACCAGGAACAAACUGGAACAACAAUGCUGCUAAUUACAUUUCAGAGCUUCUGCUACAGCUACUAGAACCGAUACAGGCUUCAUGCUACUAAGGGACUCAGUUUUAUUUAUGUUUUGAAGAAUGAAAAUUAAAAUUUUAUAAAAAUUUAUUAAUUAGAAAUAAUGACUCCAAAAAAAUCCAUUAUAUUUUAUAGCUUUAGGGUUAUUCAUUAUAAACUCUAAAACUCAAGAGCAACAGGUAAGCCCCCCCCCCCCCCGUCAAUGGACAAGUCCGUAGCGCACCUGCGGAAGGGAUUCAGGUGAAGAAUGACAGACCGUGACCGCAAAAACGAAGCGAGGAGAAGGAAGAGGAGGAGCGGGAGCAAAGUCAAAGCAGCCGAGCUGAUUCCCAGAAUGCCGCUGAUGGAGUACGAGGAGCCGGCCGUGUCGCUGGUCACUGCGGAGACCUGCGUGGCAGCUGCGGACGUGGCUGCAGACAGGUCACACGACAACACAGGCAGGAGGAUGAAUCACAUUCACGGUAAAUACUUAGACAGUUGCAGGCCUCAGGGUUCACGCGCAGCCCCGAGACAAUUGAGUGAGGAACAAAGCGCGAGACAGCGACCCAUUUUGCCCUGCUUGUCGCCUCGCGCUGCAACACUACGACCCUGACCUUCGGCUCGCGCCCUCGGCGCCAGAACAGAAGUGAUGGAGGGAAACACGAGGGGGACCCGGCUGUGAGCGUCAAGCGGUGAACAGCCUGCGAUGCAUCAGUUACGCUGUUACUGUAAAAAAAAGAAAAAUAGCAAUUAAUUUUAAAGUAGAAAUAAAGUGAAAUGGACCCGUAUUCUUACAGUAGAACCCCGUGCAGUCUAUGAAAUAUAAUCAUGUUCAGGACUUGUGGGCUUCCUCUUAUUAGAUCACUGGCAGAGUUGUAAACUCUCCAAGGUGCAAACAGUGGCGUUAAAGUCGAGCUCCUCGCUCUGCAAGCCGCUGAAUUCUCCGCAGACUUGCCUCAUCCUUAUCUUUUCGUGGGCCCACAGGUUGAUUGUGUAUGCAUGGCACUGGCUCGGGAUUAUUCACUACAUUUCUUAAACGUGUGAGUAUGUAGGACAGACUUCACAAUUAUCUGCCACUGAGCUGCUUAUAGACACCCAAUAAUUGUAUUACGUGCAGGUUUACGUUUUAGUCAAUUUGCCAACUUAAUUUAAGUGAGAACAUUCUCACAAUUCGAUUUCCCAUUUUUACACCUACAUGUACCAUACUAUGUAAAUGUGAGGGAUUAUUAGCCUGUCAUCACGAUCAAUUUUCACAACAGUCUAAAUGAGGUGUAAAUAUUGUUAAACAACAUGACACUUUAAAAGGCAAUGCGAUUGCUUUUAUUUUGCUGUACAUAUCAGUCAUCGGCAAAUUAUUAUUAUUAUGACGAUUAUUAAGGGCUGUCGGCAACACGUGCAUUACACAUGCCGUAUCUUUCAUGGAGCAAGGCUUGAAAUGAUAUUUUUUGCAUUUGACUGUGCGGAAAAACUUUAUGCGUAAAAUGAAAAUAACUAUUUCGUUCACUGUCCCUGCAGCCUCGGUUACUCGCCUACAAGGUGUCCUAAGAAUUCGCAAUAGUUCAGAUAUUAACCAUCACUUGUUUGUUUUCCUUCCCCCGCGCUAAUUAAUGUAAUUAAUAUGAGGGGGAGUAGUUGGAUCUAUGACCCGCGCUCUGACCGAGCGGAACCGGAAAGAAUCGCAUUAACGCGCGAGACUGAAGAAUAAAGGGACGAUUAGAACAAUAAGUAAACAUGUAAACACAGGAGGAGAGGCUCCGUGUCUCUGUGGGACUUUUGACUUUCAGCAGACCGUUUAAAUUUAAUGCAAACUACAAGGAAAGACAAAGGUUUUGAGGCGGUAUGAGCGCAUGUGUGAAGAGGAGCGCCGGUUCAAUAAAGAAUUAAGUCUGCAUGACCACUGUUUGUUGUGUCGUAAACGGAAAAAGCAAAGACAAAUGUGGGUUAUAGGGACCCAGAAAUAUCCCGAGUUAUCGUCGACAAAGUCCUUGUGAAUGUCAAAUCUCAAAUGUUUAUUAAUUUAGGUUCUUGGGGAUGUUUCACGUGUAAAUUCUUAUUGGGCACUCGCUUCGAAGGCAGGUGCUUCAAAAUGAACCCUAAGUUUCAAUUAGUUCUUAUUGUUAAGUAAAAUAACUUACUUAAGGUCUUCUUAAGUUUUUAUUGUUUAAACCCCCUUCUCCAACAUUAUUUCCCUUUGAUCAGUGCUUUAAAUUUCUGUCCUGUAUUCAAUCACUACAGAUAAAUAUAAUUAAAAAAAAAUUUGUUCAGCCUUUCUGUUUUUUCCCUUUUUUAUUAAAUGAGAGCGACCAGUUAUCGUUCACCCUUUUAUUGAAAAAAAUGUGGCCAUAUAUCCUGUAUUGCUUCACUCACACAUUUUGUCCUUAUAUUGUUUGCUGCUUUGCCAUUCA